GCAAACAAAAUCCAGUUUUUAAGAGUUCGUAGUCCCAUGUGUUGAUUGAAAAAGCAUAAUAUUUGCCUUGGCUAAUUAUUCACUUGAUUCCUAUGAGUUACUAAAUGCAGAGGUUACUCGUGCACUGUAGAAAGGAGAGAAAUGGUCACUUCUGAACAGCUGUUUUGGUCACAAAGAAAUAGCCACAUAAGCAAAAAAUUGGCCUUUUCAUUCCAUAAUGUUACUGCUUUGGUUCUUCUGUUGGAGGUGGAUUGCCCCAGGCAGGUAGCAAGACUUCAGGAGAAUUAUAAUCACCCAAGGACAGAUACCCUCUUAUUUCAGCACAGUGGCCCUGGUGGAAGACAAAGUAUAACUCAAAAUAGGAAUCGAUCACUCCAGAUAAGACUGUACACAUAUCAGCAGUACAGUAUUGUUCAAACAAGGCCCCAGUUGGCUAGAAGGCUAAAUUAUGUAAGUAAAAUAAGAACACAU
Molecule: long non-coding RNA, 471 nt
Organism: Mauremys mutica (yellowpond turtle)
Lineage: Eukaryota; Metazoa; Chordata; Testudines; Geoemydidae
Exons: 4
Source: RefSeq, a predicted model, not a curated record